Molecule: ribosomal RNA, 467 nt
Filed under: uncultured bacterium
Lineage: Bacteria
Description: partial 16S ribosomal RNA
Rfam family: Bacterial small subunit ribosomal RNA
Source: RNAcentral
GAUGAACGCUGACAGAAUGCUUAACACAUGCGAGUCUACUUGAAUUUGGGUUUUUUAACUUAGAUUUGGGUGGCGGACGGGUGAGUAACGCGUAAAGAACUUGCCUCACAGCUAGGGACAACAUUUGGAAACGAAUGCUAAUACCUGAUAUUAUGAUUAUAAGGCAUCUUAGAAUUAUGAAAGCUAUAUGCGCUGUGAGAGAGCUUUGCGUCCCAUUAGCUAGUUGGAGAGGUAACGGCUCACCAAGGCGAUGAUGGGUAGCCGGCCUGAGAGGGUGAACGGCCACAAGGGGACUGAGACACGGCCCUUACUCCUACGGGAGGCAGCAGUGGGGAAUAUUGGACAAUGGACCAAGAGUCUGAUCCAGCAAUUCUGUGUGCACGAUGACGUUUUUCGGAAUGUAAAGUGCUUUCAGUUGGGAAGAAAAAAAUGACGGUACCAACAGAAGAAGUGACGGCUAAAUACGU